CAGCACCUCAAGUGGUCAGGACGAUUAUUGGGCCUAAAGCGUCCGUAGCCGGCCGAGUAAGUCCCCCGUUAAAUCCAGCGUCUCAAGCGUUGGACUGCGGGAGAUACUACUUGGCUAGAGAGUGGGAGAGGUCAGCGGUAUUCUGGGGGUAGGGGCGAAAUCCUUUGAUCCCCGGAGGACCACCAGUGGCGAAGGCUGCUGACUAGAACACGUCUGACGGUCAGGGACGAAAGCUGGGGUAGCGAACCGGAUUAGAGACCCGAGUAGUCC
Molecule: ribosomal RNA, 270 nt
Filed under: uncultured archaeon
Lineage: Archaea
Description: partial 16S ribosomal RNA
Rfam family: Archaeal small subunit ribosomal RNA
Source: RNAcentral